AAGGCAAUAAAUAGGCCAUAGUAGCGAAGUAAUUACAAUUUAGCAAAUUAACACUGGCGUGAGAGAUGAGCAGAUUUUGAUGUGCAAGUAGAGAUACUGGUGUGCAAAAGAGCAGAAAAGUGAUGGUGUCAUGACGUCUGAUGAGUUGACACAUGCAGGGCAAGGGAAGAAUUAUUUCAUUAUUAAUGGACCGCCCAGAAAUGUGUCACUUGUUCAUCCCACGGUUGUGUUCUCAGUCAUCAUGGAACUGUUGUGCCUUUUAUGCACUAGUCAAUUAUGAUUGCAUUUCAUAUCUUGGCUAGAAGACAACGCCUUCGCAGACAUCGAAUGUUAGCCAUCCUACUAUGUCAGGUCCAUCUGCUGGAGGGAAUCGACAGAAAAGUCUCUGGUUGCGUUCCUAGUGGAUACAUCAGGCAUACCCAUGUUGUCGCAUAGAAUAGGUGUUUCGGAGGUUGUCGGUAUUCUUCGUCCUAGGCUAAGUACAUUUCCAGCUGCAGACUGAAGAGGCCUCGUAUGAGAUUUGCUCCUUCUGUGGCAAUGUUUUAGAGUUUAACCAUUUCUAGUCGUGUAGCCAACGCUGUAUGGUCUUAGAAAUUCAACCAUGUACAACCUUAGCUUACACCGUGGUCUAGUGUGAAUUGCGUCACGGUGGCUUUUAUACUUGGGUAGAAAAGGGGCCGUCUCAUCAUGUUUGUGCUCACCUGGGCGUGGCUACUGACUGUGCAUAAAUUACCAUAAAACAACCAAUUCUGAUUUAGAAGACUAAAUCUCAUUGUUAGCUUUUCAAAAGUAUUCUUAAACUUAUUCAUUCAUCUUAUACAACAUUCAGAUGUAAAGCUGACAGCUGGGAAAUUUACACUUUAAGAGAUAGAGUUAUGUGUGUUUCCUGUCCUUCACAUGAGCACCAAAUUAAACACACUCCUCAUGACUGUCCCUUAAGUGUCCACGGACCAUUCCCACACUCUCAAAAAUAUAAAUAUUGUUUAAUUCUCCCAUUUUGGGGAUCAGGAGUUUUUUAUUUACAUUUGCUUCUACUUACACUUGUAUGUUGACUUCUCCAUAUUAAUGUUGGUUUUAAGUUUUGGCUGACUUUGCUAAGCGGAUCACCAUCGCAAAUUUAAUUAUGGGGCUAAUUGUACAUUCACAAACUCGAAUUUACAAUUGUAAGUGAAACUCGGCAAAAACAGAGGUGAUUAUGAAAUUAAAUAUUUCGUCAGAACAUGUAUUAUGCUGUGAAGAUCCCCACAAUGCAUUUCAAAUGUAAGGCAUUGAAAGCAUUCUAUAUUGGCAGUCUGUAAAUGUAUUUACAAAAUUCAACAUGGCUGUCUAUUCAGAUACCUUAGGAAGGUUGUGUAAAUACAGAGAGAAGAGUAAGAUUAGAGUAAAAUAUACAUACUUGUAGCACAUUCAUAU
This is a long non-coding RNA of Oncorhynchus kisutch (coho salmon), 1413 nucleotides long. RefSeq lists it as uncharacterized. The transcript has 2 exons. Lineage: Eukaryota; Metazoa; Chordata; Actinopteri; Salmoniformes; Salmonidae. The record is from RefSeq and is a predicted model, not a curated record.